Molecule: long non-coding RNA, 816 nt
Organism: Heterocephalus glaber (naked mole-rat)
Lineage: Eukaryota; Metazoa; Chordata; Mammalia; Rodentia; Bathyergidae
Source: Ensembl
UAGAGACCCAACUAGUGAUCAGUCAUGCAUGGCAAGAUAUUCAGUGAGCUCCCCACCCCACCCUGAGUCCCUCCUUCCUCCAAGAAGAACAGUGCUCCAUGUGGAUAUCCCACCAGCCUUGGCCCAGGUUCCUCCCUGAAGAAAAGCUUCCCCAAACAUUCAGCAUACCUUCCCUGUUAUCUCACCCAACCCCUCAAAACCCAGAACAAAAUUAUGGGAGUGAAGAUGUUCCCGGGGCUGAGCCUGCCUUUCCUCUGCACCCAGACACUCAGUGGCCAAUUUCUACGUGAAAGUUGUUGUUCCAGCAGACAAAACCCAAGUGUGCCACAGUGGAUUGUUUUGGAGAACCCUGCUCUAGAAGCAACAGCCAAGUUUCAGAAAGUUUGCCGAAACUGCCAGUUUGCAAAGCCUUUGUUCUUUGGAGCACAGCACGCAGAUUCCAGAACCUUUAAGAAGCCCAGGAAGGCCUGUGUGCCCUGCUAUUUUUUGAUGCUCACAAUAUAUUGAAAAACAAAGAAAUGAAUAAAAGUACCUCAGCCAAAAAUCCAGCCUGUGCUCCUGUAGUAAUGGGAGGACAGACACCUUUCCUUCUUGGUAAAGCAAGGGAACUCCAGAAAGGGGAAGCAGAGGAAGUGGCCUGCACAGCAGAACCUCCCCUUGCCUGUGGUAACCCUCACUCUGCAGGACUGCUUAUCCUUCACCACCAUUUGGAAGGCAAAGGAAAGAGGAGAAAGGUUGUGGGAGGAGCCACCAGUGAACUGGGAGGAGGAUUAUUCAGUCUCCUGGAGGAAAGGUAACUCAUCAGUUCACAGCUAG